CUCAGUUCUGCUAUGAAUAAACUUACUUGAAAAACAAGGUUACAGUGGCUCACUGGAGUUCAGUGCAAGGUGCAAGCCAUGGGCAAAUGGGUGUGGUUCAUGCCUUUAACCAGUUAAGUUUGCCUCUCAACAGAUCUCUAAAGCUACAUUGCCAUUGAGGUCAGAGUUAGUUUAAAUCUAGCUUAACUGCAUUGAUAAAAAUUGCAGUUGCUUCUUGUACAGUGGUGUAAACUCAGUAUUGGUCAGGCAAUAUCCACAACUUUUUUUUUUUCUUUUUUUUCUUUUUUUUUGUCUAGGCCACUCCUCUCUCUUCAGCUGAAAUGAGCAAUUGAUCUUGUUAUCUGUUCUGCCACUAAGAGAUACAACACAAGUUGCACAGUGUCUGCUCCUUCUGUUGGUGUUGUGGUUUCCUGUGCCUAAGUCCCCCAUUUCUUCAUUACACUGGCUGUAUAGGCAUUAGCCUUCUCUAACAGCCUUUCUGCACCAUGUCAUUCAGUAAUGGCUAGUAAUGCAAAGAGAUCUGGAAAAUCUGCUCACUGCGGACCCUGUAAGAGUUUCUGGUUUUCAGACUACACAAAGCAUUAAUGGUCUUCUAAGGAUGGAAGGAAGGAUUUCAUUGCAGAUGCUCCCAUGGAAAUUGUUAUCACUCUUCUAAUCUAGUUGUUCUUCCGUACAGUCUUGUACACAGACUUUUUCAGCAAGCACUAGGAUCAGCUGAGAAUUUGGUAUACAGCUCAUUUUGCCCAUGCAAGUUAUGCAUUUCACCAACUGGACAAGGCUAUUUCUCAACUCAGAGAAUCCAAUGUGCACCUGAACCCCUUUAUGACACAUACAAUAUGAAGAGC
Molecule: long non-coding RNA, 845 nt
Filed under: Parus major (Great Tit)
Lineage: Eukaryota; Metazoa; Chordata; Aves; Passeriformes; Paridae
Description: lncRNA (ENSPMJG00000018642.1)
Source: RNAcentral